Molecule: small RNA, 80 nt
Filed under: Arabidopsis thaliana (thale cress)
Lineage: Eukaryota; Viridiplantae; Streptophyta; Magnoliopsida; Brassicales; Brassicaceae
Description: ATSL300500
Source: RNAcentral
AUGGUUUUUUAGGGGAUUUCCGGUUUGGCUCAAAUUUGUUCCCGGUAUGGCUUUUAGGACGGAUAAUGAACCUUUCAAGG